AUUGAACGCUGGCGGCAUGCUUUACACAUGCAAGUCGAACGGUAACAGGCCGCAAGGUGCUGACGAGUGGCGAACGGGUGAGUAAUGCAUCGGAACGUGCCCAGUCGUGGGGGAUAACGCAGCGAAAGCUGUGCUAAUACCGCAUACGAUCCAUGGAUGAAAGCGGGGGACCGUAAGGCCUCGCGCGAUUGGAGCGGCCGAUGUCAGAUUAGGUAGUUGGUGGGGUAAAGGCUCACCAAGCCAACGAUCUGUAGCUGGUCUGAGAGGACGACCAGCCAGACUGGGACUGAGACACGGCCCAGACUCCUACGGGAGGCAGCAGUGGGGAAUUUUGGACAAUGGGCGCAAGCCUGAUCCAGCAAUGCCGCGUGCAGGAAGAAGGCCUUCGGGUUGUAAACUGCUUUUGUACGGAACGAAACGGCGAGCUCUAAUACAGUUUGCUAAUGACGGUACCGUAAGAAUAAGCACCGGCUAACUACGUGCCAGCAGCCGCCGCCG
RNAcentral lists this ribosomal RNA (498 nucleotides) under uncultured bacterium. RNAcentral describes it as "partial 16S ribosomal RNA". It matches the Rfam family "Bacterial small subunit ribosomal RNA", at positions 30 to 523 of the family's 1533-position model. The record is from RNAcentral.